RNAcentral lists this ribosomal RNA (399 nucleotides) under Pedinellales sp. Its description in RNAcentral is "partial small subunit ribosomal RNA". It matches the Rfam family "Eukaryotic small subunit ribosomal RNA", at positions 582 to 975 of the family's 1831-position model. The record is from RNAcentral. Lineage: Eukaryota; Dictyochophyceae; Pedinellales.
AUUCCAGCUCCAAUAGCGUAUAUUAAUGUUGUUGCAGUUAAAAAGCUCGUGGUUGGAUUUCUGGUCGGAACGCCGGUCCGGCUCCGCAAGGGGUCGUGUAUUGGUUUCUCCUGCCAUCCUCAGGGGGAGCUGCGCUGGUAUUCAUUUAUCGGCGUGGUUACGCCUGUCGUUUACUGUGAACAAAUUAGAGUGUUCAAAGCAAGGUGUACUUGAAUACAUUAGCAUGGAAUAAUAAGAUAGGACUUUGGUGGUUCUUUUUGAUAUUUUGUUGGUUUGCACGCCAAAGUAAUGAUUAAUAGGAGCAGUUGGGGGUAUUCGUAUUCAAUUGUCAGAGGUGAAAUUCUUGGAUUUAUAGAAGACGAACUACUGCGAAAGCAUUUACCAAGGAUGUUUUCAUUA